RNAcentral lists this ribosomal RNA (497 nucleotides) under uncultured bacterium. RNAcentral describes it as "partial 16S ribosomal RNA". It matches the Rfam family "Bacterial small subunit ribosomal RNA", at positions 28 to 507 of the family's 1533-position model. The record is from RNAcentral.
GACGAACGCUGGCGGCGUGCCUAAUACAUGCCAGUUGAGCGCUGAAGGUUGGUACUUGUACCAACUGGAUGAGCAGCGAACGGGUGAGUAACGCGUGGGGAAUCUGCCUUUGAGCGGGGGACAACAUUUGGAAACGAAUGCUAAUACCGCAUAAAAACUUUAAACACAAGUUUUAAGUUUGAAAGAUGCAAUUGCAUCACUCAAAGAUGAUCCCGCGUUGUAUUAGCUAGUUGGUGAGGUAAAGGCUCACCAAGGCGAUGAUACAUAGCCGACCUGAGAGGGUGGUCGGCCAAAUUGGGACUGAGACACGGCCCAAACUCCUAAGGGAGGCAGCAGUAGGGGAUCUUCGGCAAUGGACGAAAGUCUGACCGAGCAACGCCGCGGGAGUGAAGAAGGGUUUCGGAUCGGAAAACUCUGUUGGUAGAGAAGAAAGUUGGUGAGAGUGGAAAGCUCAUCAAGUGACGGUAACUACCCAGAAAGGGACGGCUAACUACGUG